RNAcentral lists this ribosomal RNA (1545 nucleotides) under Staphylococcus sp. RNAcentral describes it as "partial 16S ribosomal RNA". It matches the Rfam family "Bacterial small subunit ribosomal RNA". The record is from RNAcentral. Lineage: Bacteria; Bacillati; Bacillota; Bacilli; Caryophanales; Staphylococcaceae.
GAUGAACGCUGGCGGCGUGCCUAAUACAUGCAAGUCGAGCGAACGGACGAGAAGCUUGCUUCUCUGAUGUUAGCGGCGGACGGGUGAGUAACACGUGGAUAACCUACCUAUAAGACUGGGAUAACUUCGGGAAACCGGAGCUAAUACCGGAUAAUAUUUUGAACCGCAUGGUUCAAAAGUGAAAGACGGUCUUGCUGUCACUUAUAGAUGGAUCCGCGCUGCAUUAGCUAGUUGGUAAGGUAACGGCUUACCAAGGCAACGAUGCAUAGCCGACCUGAGAGGGUGAUCGGCCACACUGGAACUGAGACACGGUCCAGACUCCUACGGGAGGCAGCAGUAGGGAAUCUUCCGCAAUGGGCGAAAGCCUGACGGAGCAACGCCGCGUGAGUGAUGAAGGUCUUCGGAUCGUAAAACUCUGUUAUUAGGGAAGAACAUAUGUGUAAGUAACUGUGCACAUCUUGACGGUACCUAAUCAGAAAGCCACGGCUAACUACGUGCCAGCAGCCGCGGUAAUACGUAGGUGGCAAGCGUUAUCCGGAAUUAUUGGGCGUAAAGCGCGCGUAGGCGGUUUUUUAAGUCUGAUGUGAAAGCCCACGGCUCAACCGUGGAGGGUCAUUGGAAACUGGAAAACUUGAGUGCAGAAGAGGAAAGUGGAAUUCCAUGUGUAGCGGUGAAAUGCGCAGAGAUAUGGAGGAACACCAGUGGCGAAGGCGACUUUCUGGUCUGUAACUGACGCUGAUGUGCGAAAGCGUGGGGAUCAAACAGGAUUAGAUACCCUGGUAGUCCACGCCGUAAACGAUGAGUGCUAAGUGUUAGGGGGUUUCCGCCCCUUAGUGCUGCAGCUAACGCAUUAAGCACUCCGCCUGGGGAGUACGACCGCAAGGUUGAAACUCAAAGGAAUUGACGGGGACCCGCACAAGCGGUGGAGCAUGUGGUUUAAUUCGAAGCAACGCGAAGAACCUUACCAAAUCUUGACAUCCUUUGACAACUCUAGAGAUAGAGCCUUCCCCUUCGGGGGACAAAGUGACAGGUGGUGCAUGGUUGUCGUCAGCUCGUGUCGUGAGAUGUUGGGUUAAGUCCCGCAACGAGCGCAACCCUUAAGCUUAGUUGCCAUCAUUAAGUUGGGCACUCUAAGUUGACUGCCGGUGACAAACCGGAGGAAGGUGGGGAUGACGUCAAAUCAUCAUGCCCCUUAUGAUUUGGGCUACACACGUGCUACAAUGGACAAUACAAAGGGCAGCGAAACCGCGAGGUCAAGCAAAUCCCAUAAAGUUGUUCUCAGUUCGGAUUGUAGUCUGCAACUCGACUACAUGAAGCUGGAAUCGCUAGUAAUCGUAGAUCAGCAUGCUACGGUGAAUACGUUCCCGGGUCUUGUACACACCGCCCGUCACACCACGAGAGUUUGUAACACCCGAAGCCGGUGGAGUAACCUUUUAGGAGCUAGCCGUCGAAGGUGGGACAAAUGAUUGGGGUGAAGUCGUAACAAGGUAGCCGUAUCGGAAGGUGCGGCUGGAUCACCUCCUUUCUAAGGAUAUAUUCGGAACA